GGGGUCGUGGUGUAGCGGUCUAACAUGCAGGCCUGUCACGCCUGAGAUCGCGGGUUCAAUUCCCGUCGACCCCGCCA
RNAcentral lists this transfer RNA (77 nucleotides) under bacterium. RNAcentral's name for it is "tRNA-Asp". It matches the Rfam family "tRNA". From Rfam's summary of the family: Transfer RNA (tRNA) molecules are approximately 80 nucleotides in length. RNAcentral also lists the same sequence under 4 other names. The record is from RNAcentral.